RNAcentral lists this unclassified non-coding RNA (210 nucleotides) under Hevea brasiliensis (rubber tree). The record is from RNAcentral. Lineage: Eukaryota; Viridiplantae; Streptophyta; Magnoliopsida; Malpighiales; Euphorbiaceae.
AUAAAUCUCAAUUACCUAUUCCAAAUAAUCCAUGAACAUUUCAUGGAUUCCAAAUUUCAUACCUUAAUUUCCUCUACCAAUUUAGUUCUUAUACUUUGUAUCUUUGUAUUACUAUUCACAUUACUAUUCACUCAAAUUGUUGACUUUUUAAUACAUAAUAAAUUUAUUGAACCUAAGUUCACUAAGAUACCACAUUUUGCAUUCUAAAGU